UCAAGGAAAAGAUAACCAAUCUUAUCUUUAAUCUCCAAAAUUAAAAUUUUUAUAAACUAUUCCUUG
This 66-nucleotide transfer RNA is filed under the name Callosobruchus analis. RNAcentral describes it as "tRNA-Pro". The record is from RNAcentral. Lineage: Eukaryota; Metazoa; Arthropoda; Insecta; Coleoptera; Chrysomelidae.